Molecule: long non-coding RNA, 921 nt
Filed under: Helianthus annuus (common sunflower)
Lineage: Eukaryota; Viridiplantae; Streptophyta; Magnoliopsida; Asterales; Asteraceae
Description: sRNA HanXRQr2_Chr13g0615061
Source: RNAcentral
UCUCUCAUAUCCCCAAAAUCGAAAUUGAAGACUAUUUGAAAGAAAGUCACAGAAAACAGAUUUCCUGACCAAAUCACCAGAGGUAAAACGACAUCGUACCGCCAUCUUCACACCUCAUAUCGGAUUUAUAAAGCCAUCACAGCCGAUGACUUCGUCGACGGCUGUCAUCUUUCCGUCAGGCAAUCUAGGCUGUAUUGUGAACUCUAAAGUGUGAUAAGGAAUUAACGGAGAUUGAAGACCAAGAUUAUCACACCAGAGGCUAAGUUAGAGUAAAAGGGUCAAAGUGGCUGAUGAGUGGAAGGUAACAAAUGAUGCUUAAUCUUUACGUUGAUGGUGGUAUGGAGUUGGUCCAUGAUUUACCAGACUCGUAUUUGGCGCAACUAGACACACAGAAGUGAACUAGAAAAUGGCUUAAAACUGAAAAGGGCAUAACUUUCAUCACAUGUGGAGUUACACGUCUCAACGAGCCACGUGCUUGGACAAAUGCAAUAGACAAAACCCGACUCACGGGACCCAAACGAGCCACGUGCUUGGACAAAUGCAAUAGACAAAACCCGACUCACGGGACCCAAUUUCACCAUCUAGAGCUCCGAUUUUGAACUCAAGGCUGUUAACUUGGAGGGAGACUGAUUAUUGACAAGAGGUUCAUAUUGAAGAAGACUUGCCACUGAAGGAACCCCUAGAGUUGUUACAAGAGGUUCUUAUAACUGAUGAAGAAUUAGUGGAACGUGUCUCUGAUGACAAGUUACCAUCUGAUGAAAAUAAAAGGAACUUCCCACCAAUCUGGUGAAGAUUGAUAAAGAUUUCUCGUUAAGGAACAAGAGAUGUCACAUGUCUGUCUAUCAUUGGAAUAAGACAGUCAGUUAAGAAGAUCUUAUACGUAAUUAUCACUUAUGUAAAUCUCAACACGAUUAUGAAUAC